Molecule: long non-coding RNA, 1715 nt
Organism: Mugil cephalus (flathead mullet)
Lineage: Eukaryota; Metazoa; Chordata; Actinopteri; Mugiliformes; Mugilidae
Exons: 4
Source: RefSeq, a predicted model, not a curated record
AUCAUACUGUUGCUGUCCCAGAUCUUGCCGGUUCUUGAUGAAGCUACUGAUAAGGUGUUCUCUGUUGUACACCUACAAGUGUUGCCAUGUUCCCGUAAAAGUAUAAUAAACUUCCAUGUCAAUGAAAGUGAAAGAACAGCUUUCCACAGGUGAUCUGCCACGUGACAGUAAGAGUGUAUAAAAACAUUUUUCAUGGGUUAUCUUUUCACAUUUUCCUUCACCGCCUGCAUGGCUGCUGUCCUUCCUUUCACCCAGAAGUUCAGAGUGUUUUAGCUGCAGCUGUGAUGGCAGGACUGGGUAGGUCCAGAACCUCCAAAGGCCUCCUCCUCAUCUUGUCUCUGUAUCUGGUUCACGUCGCAAGUUCAGAGAUUGACAAGGAGAAACUUGUACACGAUGUUCUUGAGAAGCUUAAGAAAGCUCUCGUGAUAAAUAUUCAGAAAACAACAGAAGCCGUAAACAAAAUGAAGGUAGCGUACGAGAAGAGAGUGGCAGAUGCGUCAAGAGAACACGAUGAAAGAAAAAAGCAGCUUGCCACUAUUGUGGAAAUAGUGAAGGAAGCAUCAGAUGAAUUUCCACCACUGGUAAAAGUGCCAAACAUGGUGAAGCGUUUCUGCGACAUCAUGAAAGCUGAGACAGACAGGACGAUUCACGCCAUGGCCGCAGAUCUGAAGGAGAACGAAACUCAACUACAAAAGCAAAAGCAAAUAGCACAAAAAUAUGUGGAAUUAUAACUUUAGUUUCCGUCUUUAUGGCUGUAUGAUUUUAUGCUACUUUAGAUUUUAUGAAAUGACCCUGAGAUCAUGGUUUCCUCUCUGUUUCUGACACACUAUUUUUUGGCACUUUGUGUAAAACUUUACGCUAUUAGGGUUUUUACUUUUUGUAUUGGUUUAACACAUUUAAUAUCUUUGCUCAGUGAUAGUCUGCGACCCUAUGUCAAUAUUGUCAGAUGGCAUUGCAGUUCUAAAGUCAGGAUUUUAGUUGUUCCAUUACAUGACAACAGAAAAAUAUCUAAAUGAAAACAGGUCUGUUGGGAACUACAUUAUAAUCAUUACCAUGAUUACAUAUGUGCACAUAUCAAUACUAAUUUCACACUGAAUUUAUUUGGUCCACACCUGUGGCCCCAGAGGUAUCUCAUUGGGUGAUUUGAAGCAAGGGCCGGGACUGCACAGAUCAGCUAGCUCAUCUAACAUAGCUAAAUCAUGUUUCAUUCAAUCAUUGCACGAUGAAUCGAGUUCACAAAGUGGUUAGAGUGACAGUUAAGAGUUUACCUCUUAAGCAGGAAUUGGAGAUAAAAGGUUUGGGAGCACGUCAACUGGAGGAUUUCAUCAUUUCUCAGGAGGGAAAAGACAAAAUUAGGUAAUUCAACCAGGAGUGGUUUAAGCAGAAAACUCAGUUAACCAGAGAUCUUCAAAAGGGUCUAAUUUUUUUUAAUGAACUGAUUACCUAAUUUAGAUAUUGUUUGAAUUAUAAUGGGAUGAUGGAGUAAUGCGUAAUUUGCGAUACGUGUGUAGGUGUGUGUGAGGGGACACAACCUAACGGAUCUGUUUACCUGUCUGUGGAUCUGAAAUGGCUGUUUUGCUACGGUUUAUUAUGUGGUGACUUUGUGUAUAUAUGUGACUUUUGUUGAUGUUAAUGAUUUGUUAUUAUAUCUCUUUAUUUCUCUGAAACAUACAUUAACUGCUGUUUUUAAAAUAAAGGUAAAAAUAAUAGCAUGA